GAUGAACGCUAGCGGCAGGCUUAAUACAUGCAAGUCGAGGGGUAGCAAGAUUGUAGCAAUACAAUUGUUGACGACCGGCAAACGGGUGCGGAACACGUACACAACCUUCCUACAAGUGGGGAAUAACCCAGAGAAAUUUGGAUUAAUACCCCGUAACAUAGCGAUGUGGCAUCACAUUGCUAUUAUAGCUUCGGCGCUUGUUGAUGGGUGUGCGGCUGAUUAGAUAGUUGGCGGGGUAACGGCCCACCAAGUCUACGAUCAGUAGCUGAUGUGAGAGCAUGAUCAGCCACACGGGCACUGAGACACGGGCCCGACUCCUACGGGAGGCAGCAGUAAGGAAUAUUGGACAAUGGACGCAAGUCUGAUCCAGCCAUGCCGCGUGAAGGAUUAAGGUCCUCUGGAUUGUAAACUUCUUUUAUAAGGGACGAAAAAAGGUCUUUCUAGAUCGUCUGACGGUACCUUAUGAAUAAGCACCGGCUAACUACGUGCCAGCAGCCGCCGUAA
RNAcentral lists this ribosomal RNA (504 nucleotides) under uncultured bacterium. Its description in RNAcentral is "partial 16S ribosomal RNA". It matches the Rfam family "Bacterial small subunit ribosomal RNA", at positions 28 to 523 of the family's 1533-position model. The record is from RNAcentral.